Molecule: ribosomal RNA, 253 nt
Filed under: uncultured bacterium
Lineage: Bacteria
Description: partial 16S ribosomal RNA
Rfam family: Bacterial small subunit ribosomal RNA
Source: RNAcentral
UACGUAGGGUGCAAGCGUUAAUCGGAAUUACUGGGCGUAAAGCGUGCGCAGGCGGCUUUGCAAGACAGAUGUGAAAUCCCCGGGCUUAACCUGGGAACUGCAUUUGUGACUGCAAGGCUAGAGUACGGCAGAGGGGGAUGGAAUUCCGCGUGUAGCAGUGAAAUGCGUAGAUAUGCGGAGGAACACCGAUGGCGAAGGCAAUCCCCUGGGCCUGUACUGACGCUCAUGCACGAAAGCGUGGGUAGCAAACAGG